Molecule: ribosomal RNA, 635 nt
Filed under: Azotobacter vinelandii
Lineage: Bacteria; Pseudomonadati; Pseudomonadota; Gammaproteobacteria; Pseudomonadales; Pseudomonadaceae
Description: bacterial SSU rRNA
Rfam family: Bacterial small subunit ribosomal RNA
Source: RNAcentral
ACGCUGGCGGCAGGCCUAACACAUGCAAGUCGAGCGGCAGCGGGACCUUCGGGUUGCCGGCGAGCGGCGGACGGGUGAGUAAUGCCUAGGAAUCUGCCUGUUAGUGGGGGAUAACGCGGGGAAACUCGCGCUAAUACCGCAUACGUCCUACGGGAGAAAGUGGGGGACCCUCGGGCCUCACGCUAACAGAUGAGCCUAGGUCGGAUUAGCUAGUUGGUGGGGUAAAGGCCCACCAAGGCGACGAUCCGUAACUGGUCUGAGAGGAUGAUCAGUCACACUGGAACUGAGACACGGUCCAGACUCCUACGGGAGGCAGCAGUGGGGAAUAUUGGACAAUGGGCGAAAGCCUGAUCCAGCCAUGCCGCGUGUGUGAAGAAGGUCUUCGGAUUGUAAAGCACUUUAAGUUGGGAGGAAGGGCGCUCGGUGAAUACCCAAGCGUCUUGACGUUACCGACAGAAUAAGCACCGGCUAACUUCGUGCCAGCAGCCGCGGUAAUACGAAGGGUGCAAGCGUUAAUCGGAAUUACUGGGCGUAAAGCGCGCGUAGGUGGUUCGGCAAGUUGGAUGUAAAAGCCCCGGGCUCAACCUGGGAACCGCAUCCAAAACUACUGGGCUAGAGUACGGUAGAGGGUGGUG